CGAAGCCUUUCUUAAUAUUACAAAAAUGCCCCGACAUGAACACCCCGCCUUCCUUCUUGGUUUCUUUCGGUUCUUUUCUUCUCCAUUAGCUCUAGUAGCAAUUCUUACUCAAACCACCUUCAUCCACCUCCUUCUGUCGGCAACACCCUCCACCACUUCCUUCUGUCACCACCACCAUCUCCAUGACCACCACCACCCUCCUCCAAAACAAAUUCUCGUUCUUCGUUUUUCGCGACUAAUCACUCCGCGAAACGAAAGUAAAGCAAAACAAACAAAGAAUUGGGUUCCUCUCUCUCGAAUUGGGGAGUUUUGAUUCAUCCACCAAAGUGGUGGAAUCGGAUGAAUAAGAUAACUCGACGACACCUCUCAACAAAUCGGAUGAGAGAAGCACCAGUACAGCAGUGGACAACAAUUAAGUCUUCAUUCCCAGUCUUAGUUUGUAGAGUUGCGGAGCGGGAUGGAAUUAAGCUGAUAGAAACAUCAACUUAACACAAUAGAGUACCAUAUAAGGCUAAUAUUUUUUUCUCUUUUUUGCUCUGAUUACACAUGUAUGUUUGAUGAUUUCUAAGGGUGAUUGUGUAAUGUUUUAGGUCCUCAAGAAAAUGACCAUAUGAGACGGUCACGUCAUGUUUACUUUGUACUGAUUUAGCUACCGGUUUGGUUAAAGAAAUUGGUUGAUGCUUGGGACAAAAAUUCCAGGAUUUGGCGAUGAAGGCUGUGCUUGAUAUUGCUGCUGCAAUACACGGUGGUGGUCAUGUAAAGGCUGAAGUGAAAUGGUCUUUCUACAAGAAGAGUCAGUUUAUGUUCUUGCAGAUUGUUGGAAGAUAUUUAAUUCUAGCUGAUGUGAAGUAUGUUUGAAGGAAGCAUCAACUUUAAUGAUUGGAUGUUUGCCGUGUUUAAGAGGGACGAGCGCGCGUAAGACAGUAUGCUUCAUGAGGUAUUCAGGCACUGAUUUCCUUAACAAAGAAAAAACGUCUAAAAGCUUGAAAGGUACUACGGAAGCAAUUAAUGUACCUGCAUUGUAUUAGAUGAGGAGGUAUGAUGUCAUAAAACCAAAUUGAACUCUUGACAUGGUUUUGGAUAUCUAUUGAUGACUUUGCAGU
Long non-coding RNA from Papaver somniferum (opium poppy), 1103 nucleotides. RefSeq lists it as uncharacterized. NCBI's taxonomy places the organism in Eukaryota, Viridiplantae, Streptophyta, Magnoliopsida, Ranunculales, Papaveraceae. The record is from RefSeq and is a predicted model, not a curated record. The transcript has 3 exons.